RNAcentral lists this ribosomal RNA (1513 nucleotides) under Lactobacillus helveticus. Its description in RNAcentral is "bacterial SSU rRNA". It matches the Rfam family "Bacterial small subunit ribosomal RNA". The record is from RNAcentral. Lineage: Bacteria; Bacillati; Bacillota; Bacilli; Lactobacillales; Lactobacillaceae.
CAGGACGAACGCUGGCGGCGUGCCUAAUACAUGCAAGUCGAGCGAGCAGAACCAGCAGAUUUACUUCGGUAAUGACGCUGGGGACGCGAGCGGCGGAUGGGUGAGUAACACGUGGGGAACCUGCCCCAUAGUCUAGGAUACCACUUGGAAACAGGUGCUAAUACCGGAUAAUAAAGCAGAUCGCAUGAUCAGCUUAUAAAAGGCGGCGUAAGCUGUCGCUAUGGGAUGGCCCCGCGGUGCAUUAGCUAGUUGGUAAGGUAACGGCUUACCAAGGCAAUGAUGCAUAGCCGAGUUGAGAGACUGAACGGCCACAUUGGGACUGAGACACGGCCCAAACUCCUACGGGAGGCAGCAGUAGGGAAUCUUCCACAAUGGACGCAAGUCUGAUGGAGCAACGCCGCGUGAGUGAAGAAGGUUUUCGGAUCGUAAAGCUCUGUUGUUGGUGAAGAAGGAUAGAGGUAGUAACUGGCCUUUAUUUGACGGUAAUCAACCAGAAAGUCACGGCUAACUACGUGCCAGCAGCCGCGGUAAUACGUAGGUGGCAAGCGUUGUCCGGAUUUAUUGGGCGUAAAGCGAGCGCAGGCGGAAGAAUAAGUCUGAUGUGAAAGCCCUCGGCUUAACCGAGGAAUUGCAUCGGAAACUGUUUUUCUUGAGUGCAGAAGAGGAGAGUGGAACUCCAUGUGUAGCGGUGGAAUGCGUAGAUAUAUGGAAGAACACCAGUGGCGAAGGCGGCUCUCUGGUCUGCAACUGACGCUGAGGCUCGAAAGCAUGGGUAGCGAACAGGAUUAGAUACCCUGGUAGUCCAUGCCGUAAACGAUGAGUGCUAAGUGUUGGGAGGUUUCCGCCUCUCAGUGCUGCAGCUAACGCAUUAAGCACUCCGCCUGGGGAGUACGACCGCAAGGUUGAAACUCAAAGGAAUUGACGGGGGCCCGCACAAGCGGUGGAGCAUGUGGUUUAAUUCGAAGCAACGCGAAGAACCUUACCAGGUCUUGACAUCUAGUGCCAUCCUAAGAGAUUAGGAGUUCCCUUCGGGGACGCUAAGACAGGUGGUGCAUGGCUGUCGUCAGCUCGUGUCGUGAGAUGUUGGGUUAAGUCCCGCAACGAGCGCAACCCUUAUUAUUAGUUGCCAGCAUUAAGUUGGGCACUCUAAUGAGACUGCCGGUGACAAACCGGAGGAAGGUGGGGAUGACGUCAAGUCAUCAUGCCCCUUAUGACCUGGGCUACACACGUGCUACAAUGGGCAGUACAACGAGAAGCGAGCCUGCGAAGGCAAGCGAAUCUCUGAAAGCUGUUCUCAGUUCGGACUGCAGUCUGCAACUCGACUGCACGAAGCUGGAAUCGCUAGUAAUCGCGGAUCAGAACGCCGCGGUGAAUACGUUCCCGGGCCUUGUACACACCGCCCGUCACACCAUGGAAGUCUGCAAUGCCCAAAGCCGGUGGCCUAACCUUCGGGAAGGAGCCGUCUAAGGCAGGGCAGAUGACUGGGGUGAAGUCGUAACAGGAAACCCCUAAA